UACGGAGGGUGCAAGCGUUAAUCGGAAUUACUGGGCGUAAAGCGCACGCAGGCGGUCUGUCAAGUCGGAUGUGAAAUCCCCGGGCUCAACCUGGGAACUGCAUCCGAAACUGGCAGGCUAGAGUCUUGUAGAGGGGGGUAGAAUUCCAGGUGUAGCGGUGAAAUGCGUAGAGAUCUGGAGGAAGACCGGUGGCGAAGGCGGCCCCCUGGACAAAGACUGACGCUCAGGUGCGAAAGCGUGGGGCGCAAUCAGGAUUAGGUACCCUGGUAUUCCACGCCGUAAACGAUGUCGACUUGGAGGUUGUGCCCUUGAGGCGUGGCUUCCGGAGCUAACGCGUUAAGUCGACCGCCUGGGGAGUACGGCCGCAAGGUUAAA
This 375-nucleotide ribosomal RNA is filed under the name uncultured bacterium. RNAcentral describes it as "bacterial SSU rRNA". It matches the Rfam family "Bacterial small subunit ribosomal RNA", at positions 524 to 898 of the family's 1533-position model. The record is from RNAcentral.